Long non-coding RNA from Ipomoea nil (Japanese morning glory), 136 nucleotides. RefSeq lists it as uncharacterized. The transcript has 3 exons. Lineage: Eukaryota; Viridiplantae; Streptophyta; Magnoliopsida; Solanales; Convolvulaceae. The record is from RefSeq and is a predicted model, not a curated record.
AGAAAAAAAAGAGAAGAGGUGAGCCAGCCCGCUAGGAUUGGGGCACCCAUUGCACCGUCUUCGAAAAAGCGUGGAGCUCCAUGUGAAGUCGGGUUGCCUGAUGACGUUAUCCUGGGGAAUGAGAAAAGAAAAGGUC